Nomascus leucogenys (northern white-cheeked gibbon) is the source of this 3541-nucleotide long non-coding RNA. RefSeq lists it as uncharacterized. The record is from RefSeq and is a predicted model, not a curated record. NCBI's taxonomy places the organism in Eukaryota, Metazoa, Chordata, Mammalia, Primates, Hylobatidae. The transcript is spliced from 4 exons.
AAUAUCCUUGGGAUAUUAGAAGGGACUUAUAGUUAGAAUACAUAAAGAGUUUCUACAACUUAAUAAGAAAAAAAUAAACAAAAUAUUUGAACAGGAACUUCACAGAAGACAAUAUAUGAAUGGCCAAGGAGCACAUGAAAAGAUCAUCAACAUCAUUAAUCAUCAGGGAAAAUAAAUGAAAAUUGCUGUAAGAUACUGCUGUGCACCUGCUAAAAAGGCAAAAAGUAAAGACUUACAGCACAAAAUAUUGGUAAUGUCAUUGAGUACUGGAAGUCAUACAUCACUGUGGGGAAAUCAAAAUAGGAGAUAACCUGGAAGUUUCUUAUAAAUAUGCACUUGCCAUUUUACCUAACAAUAAUUCCAAGAGAAAUGAAAAUGUAUGUUUAUAUGAAGACUUGUAAUGAAAUGUUCAUGGCAGCUUUAUACAUGAUGCAUAAAAGACAGAAACAAUCAAAUGUCCAUCUACGGUGAAGCUAUGUACAAAAUGUGUGGUAUAGCCAUAUAAUGGGUAAAAAUAAAAAAUAAAUUAAAAACAAUAAAAAAUUAGCUAAUGAUAGCUUUAACAGUAUAGGCAAAUCUCAAAACAUUAAUCUGGGAAAAGAAGCUAGAAAAAAAUGAAAGCAGACUGUAGGAUUUGAUUUAUAUCAAAUUAUAGAUCAGGUAACAUUAAUCUGUAGUGACAGAAAAUAGAUCAGUAAUUUCCCAGGGUAGGGAUGGAAUGGGCUUGAGUGGACCAGGACACAAGGGACCUUUCAGGGGGAUGGAAGUGUUUUGUGUCUCAUAAGUGGUGCCAGUCACAAUGGUGUAUGCAUUAUAUGCAUUAGUGAAAAUGCAUUAAACUUUAUGCAUAAAAUGAGUAAAUUUCAUUGAAUGUAAAUUAUGCCUCAACAUGAUUGAUUUUAAAAGAAUAAUGAUUUAUAGGAGAAAAUCAUACAUUUCUCCAAGAAUCAUAAAUUCAAUCCAACUUUUUAAAAAGAACAUGUCAUACAUACUUUUAAGUGUCUUUAUCUAUUUUUAUACAGUCCUGUAAAUAUUAUGUAGUUAAUAGAAGCACUAAGGCCUGGAAAGUUGUUCAAGAUAUCUGAAACACAUGUGACAAACAAUUUAUAAUAAUAGCAACAGGUUAAAAUGUAUUAAGCGGCCAUAAUAUGUCAUGCACAGUAUUAAAUGCUUCACAUUUUUUGUUUCAUUAAUUACUACAAAUCUAUGAGAUAUAUAUCAAUAACAUACCCAUUUUGCAGGCAAGGAAACUGAGUGGUGGAGGGGUACAGAACUUGCUAAGAGGUCACAGAGUAGCAAGAGGAAAGUGUAUUGGGAUAUGGGGCGAAAGAGAGAGAAUGCUGAUGGGCUUACAAGAAAUUAUAAGGAGGAUGUGUUAUUGCCUUGGGACUUGAUUAUUUUGCCCACGAAGAAAGGCAGGAACAGUAUUCAAGCCAAAGGAACGGCGUAAGCACAGACAGCUGGGCAUGAAAAUGCAGGGGAGCUUUGUCCCUCACAUUUUAGUUUCUCCAAAGCUAGAAGAAAAAGAAAAGCUGUGUCGACUUAGCAGAAAACUAGGUAUGUUUUUCCCAACUCAGAAAAUAUCCCUGACUUCUUCCAUACUCUUUGUGUGCCAUGAACUUUAAAAUACUGUCUCUGGCACCCAGGAUCUUUCAUUGAAAAUGGCCGCGCAGAGCAAGUGGCAGUUGCAGGCCAGCCUGCCUUCCCUGCCCUCACUCCCUGACACAGUUGCUGGAGUGUCCCUCGGAUCAUACUUCUGUGUCUGUGGUCCAACCCUUAAAUUGUACCAAUCGACUCACAAAAUGGGCUAAAUGGAGAAUUUCUGGACUUGGCAUGGCUCUCCCUCAACCCAGAGAAGAAAUAUAAUUUCAUAUGGACUUUCUCAAUUCAGAAUUUUAAUUUUCUCAGUUCAAGAUUUAUAAAAUGUGUUGAUUAGAGAUAUUAUUUCAGUUUGGGUCUCAUUUUCCAAAUUUCUCAGGAUACCUAAAAUCUAUUGCCAUUUGUAAGGAAUUGAAUUGUAUUCCCCCUAAGUUCCUAAGUUGCACUAAUUCCUAACCACUAAUGUGACUGUAUUUAAAGAUAGGGCCUUUAGGAGGGAAUUAAGGUGACAGGAAGUCAUAAGUGUGUGGCCCUGAUCUGAUGAGAUUAGUGUGCUUACAAGAAGAGACACCAGAAAGCACCAGGUCGGCCUCUUUCUCCCCCACACCACGUCUGCCACGUGAAGACACAACGAGAAGGCAGCAUUUGCAAACCAGGAAGACCACUCGCACCGAGAACAGAGUCCACCCGCACUUUGAUCUCCAUCCGCACUUUGAUCUUUGACUUUCAGCCUCCAGGACUUCAAGACAUCAAUUUCUGUUGUUUAAACCCCUCAGUGUAUGGCAUUUUAUUAUGGCAGCCCACACAGACUGACUUCACUAUGUAGUUCUCAGAUAAAACUUAGAUGAUUUCCUUUUAUAAGUUAGAAUUAACUUGGAUUUACUGUUUCAUUCAUAAGUUUCUUGAAUCCUUGAAUACUUGACAGGCACUAUAGUAGUUACCUGCACUAACUACCACUACAUUUACCAUUCACAGUAACCUGGGAAAGUAAUGUUUUCAAUUUCCCCAUUUUCUAUAAAGGGAAACUGAGUAAAAGGGUGGUUUGAAAGGGCAAGUGAGUGGCAAACGAGGUCCACUGGAGACAAAAAUCUGCUUUCAGUCAUCAUGCUGCCCUGAAUGAAAACCAUGAAGCCGAAUUUUGAACCAACUUUUCAUUGUAUGCUGCUAAUUUGCAGCUGCCGCACUGGGAUGCCUCUUCUAUCACGCUUUGUGUUUGAAUGUUGGGUGUACUACUUGGAGGCCUGCAGAGACUGAUGCUGUUGAUAGAUGUCAUCUCUUGUGAGCGCCAGUUGGCCAAGCUUCCUCGGAUGUGAACCACGCACAGGCAGCCCCUGACAGUCUCAUGACAGAAUGGUUUCAAAAUGGAACAAUAAUUUUCUGGGAACUCCGCCUCACCCUGUAAAAGUGAAGAUUGGACUUGGAAACUCAAAAGAUUACAUAAAUUUGUUGGUUAUAAGUAUUGGAUGUCUUCCCAUGGAGACUGGACCAGAGACAGCAACAUAGUUCCAGCGCGUGACAGCCUGAGCCUCAGCGGUUUUGACACUGUGGUCCCAUGAGCUCUAACUUCUGAUGAGGUUUCCUGGGGAUGUGCUGAGAACCAAGCAGAGAGUCUGUCCUGAAGUUCCACUUCGUCCGUUUCAUAUUUUGGGAUUACCUGUCAUAUUUGUUUUAAAGAUGGUUACUCUUGCUUGAAAAUAAAUUUAAAAAUGGUUUCUGUAUAACACUUAGUCUUCACAACAUUCCUGUGGGUUUGCUAUCCUGAUUUCCAUUUUAUAGAUGAAAGAAUUGGGGUUCUGGGUAGUCGUCUGGCGCAGGGUCACAGGUGGGUAAGUGGCCUCCCGCUCGGUAUUUCUCCACAGUCUCACUCAGAAGUAAGGAAAGAUGCCUCUGAGAGAAGUGACUUAAAUGUUCAUACACUAAUGCUCAUGCAUGUUCCUCACCA